GCUGUUCCAGGGGCCUGGGUGGGAGCAGCCCAGGAGCCUGCGUCUCCCCUCCUCGGCCCUGGGAGGCGGCUGGACUGUGCCACACGGGACGGGUGCUGAGGGACCGCUGGGUGCCCACCUCCCUGACCCCUCCUGCAGGGGUGCCUGCCAAGCAGCCUGGGCACUGCCGUCUGGAAGAUGCGCCGUGCCGGUUCUACACGGUGUUCCCUUGCUCCAGGCAGAAAGGCAGAGGAGCCUGGCAACCAUGUCCCAAGUUGGAAGGAAGCUCUGAGAACCCUGCUCCCCAGAAAUCCUGAGCAAAGGCUGGCUGGCCUACAGGAGCAGUCUAGAGUAAGAGCUGUUUCCUGGCAGAGGAUCAAGUAUCCAGGUCACAUUGAAGAGACAUGUGAGGACUCCAAUGGAGAACAAUUUGAGAGUGAGAAACCAGUUCUGGAGGCCAGGAAGUUCAAGAUCAAGGUGUUGGCAAGUUCAGUGUCUGCUGAGGACCUGAUCUCUCUUCUUUCAAGAUGGCAUCUUGUUGCUCUUCCCUCCAGAGAGUAGAAAUGCUGGAACCUCACAUGGAGGAAAAAAUGAAAAGGACCAAUGCUAGUUCCCUUCAGCCUUUUUAUGAACUCACUAAUUCCCAUUGAGGGCUCCACAUACAUGACUUAAUCACCUCCUAAAUGCCUGACUUCCUAAUACUCUCAUUUUGAAGAUUAAGUUUCAACAUAUGAAUUUGGGGGUCAUAUUCAGAACAUAGCACUUAUGAUACUAUCUCAAAUCAUAGACUGCUUUCUCGGUGGGCAUCUAUCUCAGUUUCUUUUCUGUUGUUAUUACAGAGUACCUGAGCCUGAGUAAUUUAUAAAGAAAAUACAUUUAUUUUGGCUCAUGGCUCUAUAGGCUGGGAAGUCCAAGAUUGGGCGGUUACAUCUGGUUGGCUCCUGGUGCGGGCCUCCUGCCGCAUCAUAACAAGGUAGAGAAGUGAAAGGGAAGGUGGGCUUGUAGGAAGGGGGCAAAGCAUGAAGGGCAGGCUUGCUUUAUAGAAACUGGGACACAGCACCCCACAGGAUGAGUGUAUAAAGGCUAGACAGACAAGGGGAUUGUUGUGUUGAACCUGAAAAGUCCCCUCACCUGGCAAUGCUCUCUGUUCCCUGUGAGAAGAAGGGGUUUCUUUUCUUCUGGGAUGAUUCAUCCCUUCACCUGUGGCCUUCCCUAGAGCCCAUCCUUGUGCCAUUCUGCUCUCCAGGCACAUCUCUCUCAGAUGAAUUCCCUCUUCCCUCUUCCUCUGGCCCCUCCUGUUUAUUUAUCUGUUUCCUCACCACUGUGUAAUCAGGUAGGCCCCACUGCUGUGACCUCUGGAAUAAUGAUUGAAUCUGCCCUAUCCUCUCCACAGUGAUGCCUGGGACCCAGCUGAGAUCUCCAUCAUCUCUCAAAACAACUGUGCACUGACCUCCUGACCUAAGCCCAGCCUCUGCCCACUCAGACUGACCUUCACGCAGCUGCACAAUGCUGCAUUUGGAAGCCGGACCUGACCACAUUCGUUUCCCUCUAGAUUCAUGUUCUGGAGAAAUGAAAAUGCUGUCUCAGUGGAAUGUUGAUUAGCUGGAGUGGAGACCCAAGAUCUCUGUCCAGGCAGGGCCAUCAAAACAUAGAAGUGCUCUUGGCUUUCCAAAAUCUGCACAUCUCCAACUUUUCUUUUAGCUAGAGGUGGCCCUGUGAUUGAUGAGUGACCAGCCAUGUGUGGAGAAAAGCAAUGUGAACAACUUCUGACUUCGCUGUUAAAGAAAAUUGGUCUGUCCCCCAUUUCCUUGCAUUCCCAUUCUUACUGGCUGAAAUUCAAAGCUGAUAAAUGGAGCUAGAGCAGAUAGCUGGGAAAAUGAGUUGAGGGUCUUACAUUAAGACUUGCCAGCAAGAAGAAGAAUUUUUCCAGGGUUCCUGACACCGCCAAAUUGUUCGAUCAGCUCUGAACUCUAUACUGAGAUUCUUUAAGUAUGAGAGACAUGAACUUUGACUGGCUUAAGUGAGCUAUUGAGGUCUCUUUGCUAUUGUGACCUAACUCAGGGGUCAGCAAAUAACACUCUGUGCGCAAAAUCUGACUACGAUCUGUUUUUGUAACUAAAUAAAAUUUCACUGAAACACACCCAUGCUCAUUUAUUUAGGUAUGGCUGCUUUCAUGAUACCAUGGCACAUUUGACUACCUAUAGACAGUGAUAUGAUGUGGAUCUGUGUCCCCACCCAAAUCUCAUGUUGAAAUGUAAUCCCCCUGUGCUGGAGGUGGGAUCUGGUGGGAGGUGAAAUGGGGGCGGUUUCUCAAGAAUGGUUUAGCUCCAUUUCUCUGCUGCUGUAUUCAUGAUAGUAAGUGAGUGAGUUGUCACAAGAUCUGAUUGUGUAAAAGUGUGUGGCACCUCCCCCUUCUCUCUUGCUCCUUCUCGGCCAUGUAAGACCUGCCUGCUUCCCCUUCACCUUCCACCAUGAUUGUAAAUUUCAU
RNAcentral lists this long non-coding RNA (2467 nucleotides) under Homo sapiens (human). RNAcentral's name for it is "HSALNT0026651". Lineage: Eukaryota; Metazoa; Chordata; Mammalia; Primates; Hominidae. The record is from RNAcentral.